GCCUGCUCACUGACAAAGUAGUUAAAUAGCCGCGGUAUCCUGACCGUGCAAAGGUAGCAUAAUCAUUAGUUCUUUAAUUGGGAACUCGUAUGAAUGGUUGGACAAAGAAAAAGCUGUCUCUCAUAUUAAAGUUGAAUUUAACUUCUAAGUGAAAAGGCUUAGAUUAUCUAGAGGGACGAUAAGACCCUAUAAAGCUUUAUAAACUAAAAGAAUUUACUAAUAAAAAAGAAAAAUAAAAGUAUUUCUUGUCCGUUUAUUGGGUUGGGGCGACAAAGGUAUAAAUAAAGUAACUGCUAUGAAAAUAAACAAUUAUAUUUGAUUUAUAUAUGAUAAGUGAUCCUUCUUAAAGAUUAAAAGACCAAGUUACUUUAGGGAUAACAGCGUAAUUUUUCCUGAGAGUCCUUAUCAAAGGAAAUGUUUGCGACCUCGAUGUUGAAUUAAAAUAUCUUCAUAGUGCAGCAGCUAUUAAAGAAGGUCUGUUCGACCUUUAAAUUUUUACAUGAUUUGAGUUCAGACCGGCGUGAGCCAGGUCGGUUUCUAUCUUCUAGCAAAACAAAAAGUACUUUAGUACGAAAGGAUUGAGUACUUGAAAUUUUUUUAACGGUUGGAAU
This 611-nucleotide ribosomal RNA is filed under the name Podophthalmus vigil. RNAcentral describes it as "partial 16S ribosomal RNA". It matches the Rfam family "Bacterial large subunit ribosomal RNA", at positions 1857 to 2727 of the family's 2925-position model. The record is from RNAcentral. Lineage: Eukaryota; Metazoa; Arthropoda; Malacostraca; Decapoda; Portunidae.